Molecule: ribosomal RNA, 537 nt
Filed under: uncultured bacterium
Lineage: Bacteria
Description: bacterial SSU rRNA
Rfam family: Bacterial small subunit ribosomal RNA
Source: RNAcentral
AUCUUCGGCAAUGGACGAAAGUCUGACCGAGCAACGCCGCGUGUGCGAUGAAGGCCUUCGGGUUGUAAAGCACUGUCGAGGGGAAACAAGCCGUAAGGUUGAGUGACCCCUGGAGGAAGCACGGGCUAAGUUCGUGCCAGCAGCCGCGGUAAGACGAACCGUGCAAACGUUAUUCGGAAUCACUGGGCUUAAAGGGCGCGUAGGCGGGUGAUCAAGUCAAUGGUGAAAUCCUCCAGCUUAACUGGAGAAGUGCCUUUGAUACUGAUUGUCUAGAGGGAGGUAGGGGCAUGUGGAACUUCAGGUGGAGCGGUGAAAUGCGUAGAUAUCUGAAGGAACGCCAGUGGCGAAAGCGAUGUGCUGGACCUCUUCUGACGCUGAGGCGCGAAAGCUAGGGGAUCAAACGGGAUUAGAUACCCCGGUAGUCCUAGCCCUAAACUAUGGGUACUAGAUUGUGGACUUUCAUGGGUUCACAGUCGAAGCAAAAGUGUUAAGUACCCCGCCUGGGGAGUAUGGUCGCAAGGCUGAAACUCAAAGGAA